This 468-nucleotide ribosomal RNA is filed under the name uncultured bacterium. Its description in RNAcentral is "partial 16S ribosomal RNA". It matches the Rfam family "Bacterial small subunit ribosomal RNA", at positions 28 to 507 of the family's 1533-position model. The record is from RNAcentral.
GACGAACGCUGGCGGCGUGCUUAACACAUGCAAGUCGAACGGAAAGGCCCUGCUUUUGUGGGGUGCUCGAGUGGCGAACGGGUGAGUAACACGUGAGUAACCUGCCCUUGACUUUGGGAUAACUUCAGGAAACUGGGGCUAAUACCGGAUAGGAGCUCCUGCUGCAUGGUGGGGGUUGGAAAGUUUCGGCGGUUGGGGAUGGACUCGCGGCUUAUCAGCUUGUUGGUGGGGUAGUGGCUUACCAAGGCUUUGACGGGUAGCCGGCCUGAGAGGGUGACCGGGCACAAUGGGACUGAGGGACGGCCCAGACGCCUACGGGAGGCAGCAGUGGGGAGUAUUGCACAGUGGGCGGAAGCCUGAGACGGCAACGCCGCGUGCGGAAUGACGGCCUUCGGGUUGUGAACCGCUUUCGCCUGUGACGAAGCGUGAGUGACGGUAAUGGGUAAAGAAGCACCGGCUAACUACGUG